Molecule: ribosomal RNA, 795 nt
Filed under: Cyclobacterium sp. TBL_14
Lineage: Bacteria; Pseudomonadati; Bacteroidota; Cytophagia; Cytophagales; Cyclobacteriaceae
Description: bacterial SSU rRNA
Rfam family: Bacterial small subunit ribosomal RNA
Source: RNAcentral
UCUUCGGAAGAAUGAGAGUGGCGCACGGGUGCGUAACGCGUAUGCAACCUACCUGUUACAGGGAGAUAGCCCGGGGAAACUCGGAUUAAUAUCCCAUAGUAUUAUUUUACUGCAUGGUAGAAUGAUUAAAGCCUUCGGGUGGUAACAGACGGGCAUGCGUAGGAUUAGCUAGUUGGUGAGGUAACGGCCCACCAAGGCGACGAUCCUUAGGGGUUCUGAGAGGAAGGUCCCCCACACUGGCACUGAGAUACGGGCCAGACUCCUACGGGAGGCAGCAGUAGGGAAUAUUGGUCAAUGGGCGAGAGCCUGAACCAGCCAUGCCGCGUGCAGGAAGACGGCGUUCUGCGUUGUAAACUGCUUUUAUCUGGGAAGAAAAAGCCCUUGCGAGGGAAAUUGCCGGUACCAGAGGAAUAAGCACCGGCUAACUCCGUGCCAGCAGCCGCGGUAAUACGGAGGGUGCAAGCGUUGUCCGGAUUUAUUGGGUUUAAAGGGUGCGUAGGCGGCUGAUUAAGUCAGCGGUGAAAGUUUUCGGCUCAACCGAGAGACUGCCGUUGAUACUGGUCAGCUUGAGUUAUGGAGGGGUACAUGGAAUUUAUGGUGUAGCGGUGAAAUGCAUAGAUACCAUAAGGAACACCGAUAGCGAAGGCAUUGUACUGGCCAUAAACUGACGCUGAGGCACGAAAGCGUGGGUAGCGAACAGGAUUAGAUACCCUGGUAGUCCACGCCGUAAACGAUGAUCACUCGCUUUAAAGUACGUASUACUGUGAGGCCAAGCGAAAGCGUUAAGUGAUCCAC